UUGAUUUGUGGAUGGGCAGGUUCAGGGCAUAUGUGCAAAUUGAAGCUGGAUAACAGUGCACAGUGUUGCUUGGUAACAGUGGAGAAUCUUCCUGAAGGAUAAAUGGAGAACCUGGCCAUCUAUUCUAUAUGAAAGGCGCCCGAGGGCAGAACACAUCCGGAUUUCCGGACGUUUGCUAAUGGCUAGUCAGCAGCAUGGAAGGAAAAGCCUUGAAAAUCAGAGAUUCUUCAUCAAUACAAGUAUUUCCAUCACCUGGAUGAUGAUACUGAGAUCAGAAGGUAGAACAGAAAAUGAAAUUCUCCAGCUCCACAGAAACAAGCUGGCCCCACAGCAGAAACUUUUCUUCACUGAAAGUAGAAAUGUCAGCUGAACACCCUGAGCUAAAAGUUUCCUUAGAACCAGAUUUGAAACCAAGAAGCAACUCCAGUCUCUGAUGACUCAAUGAAGUUGUGGGAAAAAUUAAGAUGCUUUUCAAGAUAAUAGGUGUUGCAGUUGAACUGGUCACAUAUUAGAGAUUACAAACUUUGUCAUCAGUAGGAUUAAAAAAAAAACUGAUUCCAAAAAAUAAAAUAAAAUAAAAAGUAAAAUUAUGUGUUGUGAUAUAUACAAAAAAGUAAAAAACGCCAAGAGCCCUAUUUGCAAUUAAAAAAGAAACGGUUUUGUUGUAAGAAGGGUAAUCGACAUCAUUCAGAAGAAAUGCAUUUGUUCAAGGAUCAGUGUUGCAUAGAAUAAUUCCAGUACAAUUUAGGAUUCUGGUCAGCUGCAAACUUGGCACACUUUGGC
Molecule: long non-coding RNA, 783 nt
Organism: Canis lupus familiaris (dog)
Lineage: Eukaryota; Metazoa; Chordata; Mammalia; Carnivora; Canidae
Exons: 4
Source: RefSeq, a predicted model, not a curated record